This 179-nucleotide non-coding RNA is filed under the name Bacillus sp. (in: firmicutes). Its description in RNAcentral is "Bacillus sp. Lysine sequence". It matches the Rfam family "Lysine riboswitch aptamer". From Rfam's summary of the family: Riboswitches are metabolite binding domains within certain messenger RNAs that serve as precision sensors for their corresponding targets. Allosteric rearrangement of mRNA structure is mediated by ligand binding, and this results in modulation of gene expression. This family includes riboswitches that sense lysine in a number of genes involved in lysine metabolism, including lysC. Lineage: Bacteria; Bacillati; Bacillota; Bacilli; Caryophanales; Bacillaceae. The record is from RNAcentral. RNAcentral also lists the same sequence under 1 other name.
AGUGAAGGUAGAGGUGCGAACUUCAAGAGUAAAAGUCCGGAGAAGGAUGAGCUUCAACGAUGGGCUUUGAAAGGGGAUGUUCGCCGAAGUGAAGAAAGGCUCAUUUCUUUCUUUGCUGGUCCAGUGUUGAAUAAAUACUGGAUUGUCAAGACGAAUCGUCUUGGAGCGCUAUCUUUCAU